This is a small nucleolar RNA of Callithrix jacchus (white-tufted-ear marmoset), 101 nucleotides long. NCBI's taxonomy places the organism in Eukaryota, Metazoa, Chordata, Mammalia, Primates, Cebidae. The record is from Ensembl.
AUCCUUUCGUAGUUCAUAAGCAUGUUUGGGUGUUCACGGGCACGUGUAACAUGUGCCUCUCUUAAACUUCGUUAUGAUGCUGACACAUCAUCCAGCUGACG